UACGUAGGGUCCGAGCGUUGUCCGGAAUCAUUGGGCGUAAAGCGCGUGUAGGCGGUCCGGUAAGUCCGCUGUGAAAGUCGGGGGCUCAACCCUCGGAUGCCGGUGGAUACUGUCGGGCUUGAGUACGGAAGAGGCGAGUGGAAUUCCUGGUGUAGCGGUGAAAUGCGCAGAUAUCAGGAGGAACACCAAUUGCGAAGGCAGCUCGCUGGGACGUUACUGACGCUGAGACGCGAAAGCGUGGGGAGCAAACAGG
Molecule: ribosomal RNA, 253 nt
Filed under: uncultured bacterium
Lineage: Bacteria
Description: partial 16S ribosomal RNA
Rfam family: Bacterial small subunit ribosomal RNA
Source: RNAcentral